AACGCUGGCGGCGUGCUUAACACAUGCAAGUCGAACGCGAAAGGGGGGCUUGCUCCCUGAGUAGAGUGGCGCACGGGUGAGUAACGCGUGGGUAAUCUACCCUAAUGUGGGGGAUAACUAUCCGAAAGGGUGGCAAUACCGCAUGAGACCACGGAGUCCUCGGGCUCUGAGGCCAAAGAUUGCAUCGGCUUGCCGGUGCCGUCGCAAUAGGAUGAGCCCGCGUACGAUUAGCUAGUUGGUGAGGUAAUGGCUCACCAAGGCUACGAUCGUUAGCUGGUCUGAGAGGAUGGCCAGCCACACUGGAACUGGAACACGGUCCAGACUCCUACGGGAGGCAGCAGUGAGGAAUAUUGCGCAAUGGGGGAAACCCUGACGCAGCAACGCCGCGUGGGUGAAGAAGGCCUUCGGGUCGUAAAGCCCUUUCGGACGGGACGAACGUCUUGCGGGGAAACUCGUGAGGCUUGACGGUACCGUAAGAAGAAGCACCGGCUAACCCCGUGCCAGCAGCCGCGGUAAUACGGGGGGUGCAAGCGUUGUUCGGAAUUACUGGGCGUAAAGCGCGUGUAGGCGGCCCUGCAAGUCAGAUGUGAAAGCCCUCGGCUUAACCGGGGAAGUGCAUCUGAUACUGCUUGGCUUGAGUACUGGAGAGGAAGGCGGAAUUCCCAGUGUAGAGGUGAAAUUCGUAGAUAUUGGGAGGAACACCGGUGGCGAAAGCGGCCUUCUGGACAGAUACUGACGCUGAGACGCGAAAGCGUGGGGAGCAAACAGGAUUAGAUACCCUGGUAGUCCACGCUGUAAACGAUGGGCACUAGGUGUGGGGGGUAUCCACUCCUCCCGUGCCGCAGCUAACGCAUUAAGUGCCCC
Molecule: ribosomal RNA, 864 nt
Filed under: uncultured bacterium
Lineage: Bacteria
Description: bacterial SSU rRNA
Rfam family: Bacterial small subunit ribosomal RNA
Source: RNAcentral